CACGUAGGGCGCAAGCGUUGUCCGGUAUUAUUGGGCGUAAAGAGCUCGUAGGCGGUCUGUUGCGUCCGCUGUGAAAACUCGGGGCUUAACCCCGAGCCUGCAGUGGAUACGGGCAGACUAGAGGUAGGUAGGGGAGAAUGGAAUUCCCGGUGUAGCGGUGAAAUGCGCAGAUAUCGGGAGGAACACCGGUGGCGAAGGCGGUUCUCUGGGCCUUACCUGACGCUGAGGAGCGAAAGCGUGGGGAGCGAACAGG
This 253-nucleotide ribosomal RNA is filed under the name uncultured bacterium. RNAcentral describes it as "partial 16S ribosomal RNA". It matches the Rfam family "Bacterial small subunit ribosomal RNA", at positions 524 to 776 of the family's 1533-position model. The record is from RNAcentral.